This 71-nucleotide transfer RNA is filed under the name Tropidurus etheridgei. RNAcentral describes it as "tRNA-Ile". The record is from RNAcentral. Lineage: Eukaryota; Metazoa; Chordata; Lepidosauria; Squamata; Tropiduridae.
GGAAAUGUGCCCGAGACAAAAGGACCACUUUGAUAGAGUGACACACAGAGAACAUAAACCUCUCAUUUCCU